Molecule: ribosomal RNA, 253 nt
Filed under: uncultured bacterium
Lineage: Bacteria
Description: partial 16S ribosomal RNA
Rfam family: Bacterial small subunit ribosomal RNA
Source: RNAcentral
UACAGAGGGUGCAAGCGUUGUUCGGAAUUAUUGGGCGUAAAGAGCUCGUAGGCGGUUUGUCGCGUCUGCUGUGAAAACGCGAGGCUCAACCUCGCGCCUGCAGUGGGUACGGGCAGACUAGAGUGCGGUAGGGGAGAUUGGAAUUCCUGGUGUAGCGGUGGAAUGCGCAGAUAUCAGGAGGAACACCCGUGGCGAAGGCGGCUCUCUGGGACGGUACUGACGCUGAGACGCGAAAGCGUGGGGAGCGAACAGG